Molecule: long non-coding RNA, 6051 nt
Filed under: Sus scrofa (pig)
Lineage: Eukaryota; Metazoa; Chordata; Mammalia; Artiodactyla; Suidae
Description: lncRNA (ENSSSCG00040009498.1)
Source: RNAcentral
CCGCGCGUGUACAGAGGUUCCGGCGGGUGGCUCCUCUCCGGCUUGAAACCUUAGAGCGGCUUCUUCUUGUCUGCGGCUUCUGACCUGCGAGCAAAGGAAAAAGCAACGAGAUGACAGACCGCUACACCAUCCACAGCCAGUUAGAGCAUCUGCAGUCCAAAUACAUCGGCACCGGCCACGCCGACACCACCAAAUGGGAGUGGCUGGUGAACCAGCACCGCGACUCCUAUUGCUCCUACAUGGGCCACUUCGACCUUCUCAACUACUUUGCCAUUGCCGAGAAUGAGAGCAAAGCGCGAGUCCGCUUCAACUUGAUGGAGAAGAUGCUGCAGCCUUGCGGCCCGCCCGCCGACAAACCGGAGGAGAACUGAGACCUCACCGUCUCACCGCUAGGUCCUUACCCGGGGCGUUCCGUCCGACCUGCCUUCCUGUGGAACAAAGUGUUGGGAGACCCGUCAUAACCCCUGAGAAACUGAACAGUGGAGAGAUCCUAAAGUCUGCAGACGUUAGAGGAGAUAUGGCUGGAGUGAGAUGGGAUUAAGAGGCUCGUUUUUGGCUAGUUGACUGUCUUCGUUGCUUUUUCUAUAAAGUUUAGAAAUGUUUCGGUCUCUUGGUGUGGACUACUUGUGUUCUGGUGGAGGGGCCAAGGAGGGCUCUGGGACUGUGGUUUGCCGGGUGGCGGGGGGUAUAAAGAAGGGAAGGGUUGGGGAGGGGUUCAACAGUAGCACAGGGCCAAAGUUCGUUGCCAGACACUUAAAUACGCUCUUUAUAAUAUUCUCCAACCCUGACUUCUCCUAGGAACUUUUCUCAGGCCCUUAACACAUUCACUAUUGAGGUUUGUGAUCACUGUGUCCUUUUUCUUUCAUACAAAAAAAAAAAAUCUUGACUCGCUUUGCCUUCUCUCUGUAGAUUACACCUCUUUCUUUUGGAAAUACGUGGACAUAUCUUGAGUAUUGACAAACUGUCAAAUUAGUUCUUAAAUUCAUUCAGCAAAUACGUGUUGAAUUUUAUGUGGCAGGCUUUAAGGACCUAUAUUACACUGGUUGGGGGAGCAGAAGACCACAAAAUUUGCAGACAUAAGCAAGCACAUGUUGGAGGGUGCUGUGGAGAAUGAGAGUAGCAGUAGGGUUGCAGUUUUAAGUAGAAUGCUCAGGAGUUCCCAUCCUGGCUCAGCGGAAACAAUCUGACUAGGAUCCAUGAGGAUGCAGGUUUGGUCCCUGACCUCACUGAGUGGGUUAAGGAUCCGGCUUUGCUGUGAGCUGCAAUGUAGCUGGCAGAUACGGCAGGGAUCCUGUGUUGCUGUGGCAUAGGCCAACGGCUACAGCUCUGAUACAGUCCCUAGCCUGAGAACCUCCAUAUGCCACUGGUGUGGCCCUAAAAAAAAAAAUCCGUAAGUAAGAUGUUCAUGUUAAACUAUUGAGAAGGUAACAUUUAAGCAGAGACUUUAAGGAAAUGAGGGAAAUACCAUGCGGAAAACUGGGGAAAUCGUUUCCCAGGUAGAGGGAACUGCCAGUGCAAUGUUCCUACUACAGGGAUUGUGGCAGGCUUAUUGGAAAAACAGCAAACAAACAAGUAUGACUGAAGGGAGUGAGUGAGGCAAAGAGUAGAGGGAUAGAUUAUGGAGGGAAACAGAUAAAAGUAGAGCCUGAUUGGCCAGUGUAAGGACUUGUGGCUUUUACCCUAAAGAGGUGGGGAGCCAUUGGAAGAUUAUUAAGUGAUACAGUCUGACAUAUUUUAGAUCAGUGGGUCUCAAAUGUUUUGGCCUUUGGACAUAAUUACAUUCUUAGAAAUUCUUCAAGACCCCCACAGAGCUUUUGUUUUUGAGAGUAAUAGCUGUUGAUAGUCACCAAGCUAGAAAUUAAAACAGAAAAUUUAAAAUACCUAGUAAUUCAUUUUAAAAUAGCAAUAGUAAAACUAUUACGUGUUAACAACAUUUUUGUGAAAAAUAACUACUUUCCAAAACAAUUUAGUGAGAAGAAUGGUGCCUUAAAAAACAAAACAAAACAGGCGUUCCCAGUGUUGGCCUUGGUAACGAACCUGACUAGCAUCCAUGAGGACUCUGGUUCAAUCCCUGGCCUCUCUCAGUAGAUUAGAGUUCUGGCAUUGCUGUGAGCUGUGGUGUAAGUUGCAGCCAUGAUUGGAGUCUGCGUUGCUGCGACUGGCAUAGGCCAGCAGUUGCAACUUGGACUUGACCCCUACCUGGGGAACUUCCGUAUGCUAUAUGUGCAGACCUGGAAAAAAAAAAAAAAAAAAAAAAGCAGUUUUGCAGAUGACUUCAAUGUCUGGCUUAAUAUAAGACAGCUGAAUUCUUUUUUUUUUUUUUUUUUUGUCUUUUUAGGGCUGAAACUGACAUAUGUGUGUGAAAGCUCCCAGGCUAGGGUUCAAAUGGGAGCUGCAGCUGCUGGCCACAGCCACAGCCACAGCAACGCCAGAUCCAAGCUGCAUCUUCGACCUACACCACAGCUCACCGCAACACCUGAUUCUUAACCCACUGAGCAAGGCCAAGGAUCAGAACCCGCCUUUUCAUGGGUACUAGUAGGUUUAUUGCCACUGAGCCACAAAGGAACUCCAAGACAGCUGGAUUCUUGUAUCUUCUACAUUCAAACUAUUGGGAUAUGAUUUUGGUUGAAGUAUGAAAAAUCCAUGUCACAUAAAUAUAUAGUAAAGGAGAAAUAUUUUAAUAGCUUUUCCAAGUAGUUAUGGAUAUUCUUUUUUUUUUUUUUUUGCAACACCCACAGCAUGUGGAAGUUCCCAGGCCAGGGAUUGAACCUGCACUACAGCAGUGACCAGAGCCACUGCAGUGAGAAGGGAACUCCCCAAUUAUGGAUACUCUUUGAUACAUUAGCAAAGCCCAACAAGUGGUAAUUUCUUAGAAGUUAGUUACAACAUGGAAUCUGAUCAAUGAACUUUUCAUUGUCUAGUACAUUAAAAUUCAUUAAUCUGGAGUUCCUGCUGUGGUGCAGUGGGUUAAUGAUCUGGCUUUUCUCUGUGGAGGUGCUGGUUCAAUCCCUGACCUGGUGCAGUGGGUUUAGGAUCCAGUGUUGCUGUGAGUUGCAGCUCUGGCUUGGAUUCCAUCCCCGGCCCAGGAACUUCCAUAUGCUGUGGGUUUGGCCAUUUAAAAAAAACAAAAUUUUUUUCUCUAAUCUGUCUUUUGCUCAUACAUGAUUUUGUAACAUCUUACAUUGGUCAGUUGGAAAGUUUUGGCUGAGUUAUAGGUGCUGCAUAGAUGUUGACACAUUUCAUUGUAUAUAUCAAAAUAUGUACUUUGUGCAUAUUAUUAGUACUUUGUGCAUAUUAUUAGUAUGCCACUGAUCUCAUCAGGGAAGUCAUACAGUAUUAGAAAGCUGAAAAACUAACAGUGAUGCUAUAAGUUUUCCACAACUUUCAGUUUUUGCUUGAUAGCUUAAAUUUGGCCACUGGUAGCAAAUACUGUCUGUUGCUUUCCUUGAAGUGACAGGCUAACUUAGUUCAUUUUCAAGAAAAUAUCUGUCAAAUACCCAGUUCUAAAUAACCAUAGUUGUUGAUCUUUCAGUAAAGGUGAUCUUCCUUGAGAAAAAAAAGCAGCCAGUUCAGUUUGCAACUCAAAUAAUAGCAAGUGCUUUUUCUGAGAAAACCAUUGUGUUUUGAUAACAGAAAUGCUUUAUGCAUACUACCAAUUUUGCCACAUGAAGAAUGUGUUUUAAAAGAUGUAUCCUCAUAGGCUAAGAUUUCAUAAAAUCAGUACUUUAUAUUGUUUUGUCAAGGACAUUCUUAGGUGAAACUGAGUUGAUAUUUUUGGUUUUGUUUUGGUUUCAUUGAGAAUACAUGGCAGUGGAGAAUCCAAUGACUAUUGUUAGUUUGGUGCCUAUGUGUGUGUGUGUGUGUGUGUGUGUGUAUUUUUUUUUUUCUCCUCUUUUCUGGUUGCCCUGAGGUAUAUGGAGUUCCCAGGCUAGGGAUCAGAUCCGAGCUGGAGUCAUGACUUAAGCUGGAUCCUUAACCCACUGUGCAGGGCCAGGGAUCAAACCUUCGUCCCAGUGCUUCCAAGACGCUGCCAAUCCUGUUGUACCACAGUGGGAACUCCCGGUGCCAUUAUCUUGACUGAUGCUAAGUGCUAGUGCUUUUACUCACUAUUGCUUUUGUACCAUCUAGACAAAUAUUAACAGUGCAAGUGGCAAAUAAAAUCUUAGUAUUAUUAGGAAAAUAGUAUUGACUUCACAGAUGUUCUGAAAUUCCUUUCCCACCAUUUUCACUUGAAAAAAAAACUGAUAUAUUAAACUGUGAUUAUUUAGACUUGAGUAUUUGGCAAAUAUUUUUUCAAAAAAGGAAUGAAAUGGGCCAUCAUUUCCAGGAAAACAACUGAACUGUUUCAGAAGAUCUCUCUGGCUGCUGUGUUGAGAAUUGAUGUAGGUAAUGUGACAGAGUAUAGAUUGUAAUUGUCAGCAAUUAAAUAAAAGUAUCAACACUAAUGCUUUUUCCCCCGUAGAGAGCAGGAGCGAGUCAAAUCCCCAUCCUUUCAAAAUUUGCACAAGAAUGAGCCCCUGUACCUGACUGGAGUCUGUAGCCAUAGACCAAGACAGAGGACAACUUGCAUUGGAAGUAGAGAGGAAGGGACUGGAUAUGUAGUAUGGGGUAACUUAUAUAAAGAAUCAAAGGAGUAAGGUGGACAAUGAGAACAGUAUUUAGACAGAAAUAACCUAAGACCUCCAUGAACUGGCUUGGAUUUAUAUUGUUAGAGUUUACAAAGACAAAGAUUUUGGACUGUUUUUAUUACCUGAUGUAUCUCAAGUGUCUAGAACAGUGCUCAGGACAUCACACGUGUUCCAUAAAUGUCAGGAGUUGAAUAUGUAAAGAUAGGACUUAAUCCAGAAGAUAUACUAAUUCAUGUUGUAGGCAGUCUUCAACUUCACCAAAAUAGGUCAUACCAAAGAAAAGAGACAUUUGAAAACAUGCUUCUUAGAUAGUAAUAAUAGCUAACAUAUGGAUAGUUUUUAUGGUGUGCUAAGUGUUCUAUCUUAAUUCCUCUGGGAGGUAUUUUCUUUGUUUUACAGAUGAAGCAGUUUCAGAAAAGCUAACUGCCCAAGGUCACACAAUUACUAUGUGGCUAAGCCAGGAUUUGAACCAGGUCUUUCUAGUUCCAAAGUACAAAGUCUUAAAUACACUGUUGCCCAAGCAAGUCUAGUAUGUGAAAAUCAUAUCAGAAUAAUUUGAAAUAAGUUAUUGUCUCAGAUAAGAAAUGGAAAUAUUAAAAGUUUAGUAGAUUAUAAUGAAGGAAGGUCAGCCCAAUGUGAAAGUGGCUUAUCUAACGCUAAGUAAAAAAAUGUAAUGUCAAAUAUAUUGAAUAAAGUUGAUUUUAAUGGGGAGAAUGAUAAUUUGUGUGAAAAAAAAAUCCAUUCAAGGAUCUGAAAGUAAACACAUUGCAGUCCAUAUAUAUUUAAUUGAAGCUGUUAUUCUUUUUCUGUUCUGGUAGAAAAUAAUAUUUGUAUCAAACACAGGAGGGCAGCAAAUGAUGCUGUGAUAGAAACUGCUUUUGGAAAGAGCUCUAAACUGGUAGAUUACGCUAACAGGAGAAAAUUAAUUCUUUUUAUAUUUUUUACAGUGAUGUAAUUAGCCACUUUUUGAACUAUAAAGUGAUAAACAUGUUUAUCUUUGACAAAUGUAAUGAAUACUGAAGAUCAAAGUAUUACACUUACAAGAAUGGGACAAGAUAAGGACCCUAGCCUUAAAAGGAUACUAGUUAGGGAAAUACAUAUAGCACCACAGGAAGAACUCCGAUCUGUAAUGGCAAGAGGUGAGUGCUAAAGAAAGAUACAGAAAAAAAGGUGAUAGCGUUUAUACGAAGAGUUUAAAAAUUGCCUUGAUGAUGCGGAUGAGGGCAAUGUUGAGAGACGUUUGAGCAAGACCUUGAGGGGUGGCUGGGAUUUAUAUGUGUUAAGACAAGGGCAAAGGAGUUCCCGGAUAGUCUAGUGGUUAGCAUUCAGCUCUUGCACCACCGUGGUCUGGAUUCAAUACCUGUCCUGAAAACUUAGAUCCCACAUCAAGCUACUACUUGCUGUGGCCAAAAAAAAAAAAAAA